GUAUACUGGCGACCUGUUACACGCAAAAGCUGUUGGAAACCUUCAAAGUGCAUUUGAAUUCUACCGGAGGGAACACUUCACUAUGGGUAGAAAGUAGAUCAACUGAAGACAUCGAACGAUCAAUAGAACAGGCAAUAGAAGGACGUUGCAAAGAUGUAUGCAGAUGUCCGUUCAUAAACGAGCCUUGUAAAAAUACGACUGCACCCAGCACGAGUACACAUUGUAAAACACAACAAUAGGUACUACAACCGGUAGAACUACUAGUGCCAAAACAAUCGGCUUAACAACAUUUACUGAAAAUGUACUUCCUCAAUCACAAAAUGCCGAAGACAUGUGUGCAAAAUCCGAUAUUGUGAUUGCUAGUAUAUGUUCCUUUGUUGGCGGAGUAGUGUGCUCUGUGGCCUUAUUGCUUUUUCUCUUUCGUCGGCAUGUCUGCAAGGGAACUGAAACACGUAAACCUAAAGACGAAGGCAUUAUUCUUGAUGACGACGCCAUUAAAGCUGAGGUAAGUAUAAAUGUUUUUUUCUAAAAUAAAGUCACAAAAACCCUACACCGAUAAAAGCCCACAAAAGCUGAAUACCUUGACAAAAAAGUAAUUUAAAAAAGGGAGCCCCUUUCAUGUUAUUUUAUCCUUGAUUCCGUUUGUCUUUGUUUUAGUAUGUCCUUCUUUUACAGGCAUUCAAAGGAAGUAAGCCUGGUCCUGACAAAAAGACCUAUGAAACAUUGACUAGUAUAGAAAGUACAAAAACAGAUCAAGAACACCCGGAUCAUGUUUACCUCGGACUGAAUACAAGGCUAAGAGAGAUGUCAGAUGUCAAACACGUUGACGAAAAUACUUUACCCACAAACUCCAAUGAAAGAUCUAAACAAUCACAAGUAAAAAAACAAAGUGAUGCUUUGAAGGAGGACCAUGUUUAUAAUGAACUGGAAUCAGAAGGAUGUGCGAACGUUUACGAGGAUGCAAGGGCGAGUGACUUGCAUGACCACACAUACAUUGGACUGAACAACCGAGAGACGGAAGAUCGCAAUGAAGUUGGAAAGGACUUGAUACAAUGACCGCACAAGCGAGUACCACGAUUAUUUGAUUUUAGCAGACGAAGCCAAAGGACUUCCGGCAAAUGUAACACACAAAGCUUCAUUAGUGCAAGGCUGCGAGUUAUACACGACCGAAAUGACGGGAGUCGAUCCGUCUUCAAGCGACCAUGCUUAUUUUACGCUGCAAAAAAUUGAGCAAUCUAACAGCCUUACUCCAGAUGUUGAGCAAAAUGAUGAAGGAAGUGAAUCUGAAAAUUACACUGAUGGACAUGCAUACUAUACUCUUGAAAGGGUAUAAGUAUUAAGUUUUACAGGAGAACAUACGUACGUUAAUUAGUUCAUUAAAAAAUACAAUCGUCUUUCAUGCCAUACUUUUAAUUAUUGAAUUUGUUAUAUACCGUAAAUAGUUUACAUGUAUGUUCGAAUAUGUUUUAAUCUCUUCUGAAUAUUGCUUCCUUUACCCUAAAUUAUUUGACGGUAAGGAAAUAUUCACCAUCUUCUUUCAUUCAGUUUAGAUGUCGUAACAACGUAGUGAAUAGUGUAUAAAGGUAAAUCUGUGUUACUGAUACUAGAAGAAGAUUUUGUGGUUUGCAAUCAUCUCAGAUAUUUCAAUACUUAAUAUGCUUUUCUUAUGGACUUUCGAACUACUGUUAUGAGCUUACUGUGCAACUGUUUCAUUAAAACUGCCUGUGUUAUAUCAUUCAUUAAAUUUAGUUGACUCACUGUACAUUCAUUGAUGUUAGGACAUAUAGAAUGGAAUGGAAAUUAAUUUGUAUAAGUGUGUAAGAUAUAUUUUGCUGUUUAAUCCACAGGCACACUGUAAAGUGUAUGAAAAAAUAGUAAAGAGUUAGUUUUUCAGUAAAAUAAAUAUGAAAUAGGGCCUACCAAUAUUUUGUUUGAUUAUCAUAGGGAUAUUGUUUAUAGACUACAUUGGAAAUAUUCUUAUUGUGUUUAGCAAAGUUAUAAGACGUUUUCUUAAGAUGUUAUAACCCGAUGGUUACUUUUGAGUCUCAACCCCAUUUUGGUGUUCAACACGUUACUCUUGGUUAUGACUGACGGGAUUCCGUGAUAGGCAGUGUUUAAAGUCAAUUGGGACUAAGCUGCUCUGGUAUAUUUUGCCUGCUUCGUAGAGCCCUUAAUGAGGUUUCUCUUAAUGCCAAGGUAUUGUGUGCAUGGGUAUAUGGUUCUUUUGACUUUUUAGUAUAAAUUUACAAGAGCAUUUUAUUGUUUAACAUACAUAUAUAGUUUGUACGGGAUUCAUUUGGCGGGAAUAACGUUUUUACACUGUCGUAUCACCAUGAUGGUUAUAAGUGAGGUUUGGUACGUCAUUAACCGGAUUAAAUUCCCUAGUGUCGUUUUUGCUUUUGAUCGUUCCAAGGCGGUUCCCAAUUACUAUCUAUAUUUGUUGUUUUGCUCCCGAUGUUUUAAUUUUGUCUAUGUACUUUUGUGUAUAUUUUGUUGUUCACAUUCACAAAUAGUCUUCUUCAUGACUACCGUGAGAAUGGACUGAUUUCCUUGAGCUUGGUUGUCAUAUUUGUCUUUGUUAUUUUUUGUUCCGGAUAUAAAUGUAAUCCAAAUCAGUAGGCAGAAUUAAUGUUUCGUCGCUUCGAAACAGAACAUUUCGCCACAUUAAACUUGUAAUCUGAACAUGAGCGUCUA
This is a long non-coding RNA of Mercenaria mercenaria, 2694 nucleotides long. RefSeq lists it as uncharacterized. Lineage: Eukaryota; Metazoa; Mollusca; Bivalvia; Venerida; Veneridae. The record is from RefSeq and is a predicted model, not a curated record. The transcript has 3 exons.